Molecule: ribosomal RNA, 460 nt
Filed under: uncultured bacterium
Lineage: Bacteria
Description: partial 16S ribosomal RNA
Rfam family: Bacterial small subunit ribosomal RNA
Source: RNAcentral
CCUACGGGAGGCAGCAGUGGGGAAUAUUGGGCAAUGGGCGCAAGCCUGACCCAGCAACGCCGCGUGAAGGAAGACUGCCCUAUGGGUUGUAAACUUCUUUUAUAUGGGAAUAAAAUGUUCCACGUGUGGGAUUUUGUAUGUACCAUAUGAAUAAGGAUCGGCUAACUCCGUGCCAGCAGCCGCGGUAAUACGGAGGAUCCGAGCGUUUUCCGGAUUUAUGGGGUUUAAAGGGCGCGUAGGUGGAGUGUUAAGUCAGUUGUGAAUGUUUGCGGAUCAACCGUAAAAUUGCAGUUGAAACUGGCAGUCUUGAGUACAGUAGAGGUGGGCGGAAUGCGUGGUGUAGCGGUGAAAUGCUUAGAUAUCACGAAGAACUCCGAUUGCGAAGGCAGCUCACUGGACUGCAACUGACACUGAGGCUCGAAAGUGUGGGUAUCAAACAGGAUUAGAUACCCUAGUAGUC